AUGAAAUGCUUACAGCAAACCCAAGAAGAGCGAGAUUAUUCCAUGAUAGCUCUUUAUCCAAUGAAGACACUUAUGAACCUUUCCUCAGAUUUCUUUGGAAAGGUAAUUGGUUCAUCCAAGAGAAGAGCUGUAAGAUUCUCUCUUUGAUAGUGAGUGCCAGGCCAAAUGUUCAGAAUGUUGCUGAUGCAAAUGGAGAUGCCUCGAGUUCAAAGAGGACACUCACCACUAUGGAAAAUAUUCUGAAUGGCCUAGUAGAUUGGCUAUGCUCACAGCUGAGAAAGCCUUCUCAUCCUAGUUGUAGCAUUCCCUCUGCAAUCAAUUGUCUUGCAACACUGUUGAAGGAGCCUGUUGUUCGACGUUCAUUUGUUCAAUCUGAUGGAGUGAAGCUGCUCAUUCCUUUAAUUUCACCAGCAUCUACUCAGCAGUCCAUUCAGCUUCUCUACGAGACAUGUCUAUGCGUUUGGCUUCUGUCUUACUAUGAACCUGCAAUUGAGUACUUGGCUACUUCUAGGGCCCUACCUCGAUUGAUUGAAGUUGUUAAAGGUUCGACAAAGGAGAAGGUAGUCAGAGUUGUCAUCUUGACUCUUAGGAAUUUGCUUGCCAGAGGGUCAUUUGGUUCUCAAAUGGUAGACCUGGAUGUGCUGCAAAUUGUACAGAGCUUGAAAGCGCAGGCCUGGAGUGAUGAGGACCUUUUGGACGCUCUGAAUCAACUUGAAGGAGGAUUGAAGGCCAACAUCAAAAAAAUGAGUUCGUACGAUAAGUACAAGCAGGAAGUCCUACUUGGCAGUCUUGAUUGGUCCCCCAUGCAUAAAGAUCCUCUAUUCUGGAAGGAAAAUAUAACUUGUUUCGAGGAGAACGGAUUUCAGAUUUUGAGAGUGCUCAUGACGAUUUUGGAUACAUCAAAUGAUUCAAGGACACUUGCUGUAGCUUGCUAUGACUUGUCACAGUUCAUUCAGUGCCAUCCUGCCGGGCGAGUCAUAGUGGCUGACCUCAAAGCUAAGGAACGGGUAAUGAAACUAUUGAACCACGGAACUGCAGAGGUCACGAAAAACGCCCUGCUUUGCAUCCAGAGGCUUUUCUUAGGCGCCAAAUACGCCAGCUUUUUGCACGCUUAAAUUAUCUUCAAAUGGCUCCAUUCUUUGAGACAAACUAUACAUAUUUUGUUAUUUCAAAUGACACAAGUUUGAGAGUGGUCCUGUUCUAUUUAUUCAUUUUUUCUUUGUCCGAUGAAAUCGGACGGACAUGGACUGUGAGGACUCAUAUAGCCGACUUCAAGUUGUUUGACG
RNAcentral lists this unclassified non-coding RNA (1286 nucleotides) under Hevea brasiliensis (rubber tree). The record is from RNAcentral. Lineage: Eukaryota; Viridiplantae; Streptophyta; Magnoliopsida; Malpighiales; Euphorbiaceae.